UGAGGACUACCUGUACCGCUUGUUCAGCACCAUUCUAUGGAUUAAGUACAACGCUGGCAUGAUGCGUUUCAGCCAUGCACCGCAGAACAUAGACUUUUGCACCAAAAGGAGCAAGGAUCUGCACCCUGAAAAGACAUUCCACAUUCCAAGGAAAAUUAUGCACAUUGACAUAACAUAAUCACCCCGUAUUUUGCUCUUUGGGAUUACUGUAUGGAGGAGCUCAAGGUUUAUGCAACAGGAGCCCAUCUUGUCAAGAGCCAAUAUGUAAAGAAGACGUAAGGGAGCCAUCGCUAACCAACAUGCCCAGAUGUGCGGGGUUGCCAUCCCAAAACCCUAGCUAACAAGGCCAAAGCACUUGCUGGUUAGCAAUUCUGGAACUUGAAGUCCAACAUAUCUGGAGAGUGCCAGAUAUGGGAGACGGCCAAUUCCCCAAAUUUCCAGGCUGAAUAAAUCUGAACAGCGACAGACUGGGGAGAACUGACUGCAACUUGAACAUAAUCCAUGGAUGUCUCACCUGAGAGCUAAGUCUGUUAAAGUCUCAUUGGUCCCAUUGGGAAAAUUAACAGCGUGUCUUCUCCAGGGAAAUCCAUAUAAACUAAA
This is a non-coding RNA of Python bivittatus (Burmese python), 600 nucleotides long. NCBI's taxonomy places the organism in Eukaryota, Metazoa, Chordata, Lepidosauria, Squamata, Pythonidae. The record is from RefSeq and is a predicted model, not a curated record.